RNAcentral lists this ribosomal RNA (402 nucleotides) under Triticum aestivum (bread wheat). RNAcentral describes it as "partial small subunit ribosomal RNA". The record is from RNAcentral. Lineage: Eukaryota; Viridiplantae; Streptophyta; Magnoliopsida; Poales; Poaceae.
AUGCGUCAGUACUGGUGGGGAGUUGAUAAGGGGAAGCGCAAAAUGGCAUGGCUGAGUUGGGACAAAAUGCGUCUACCCAAAUCUAUGGGAGGCAUGGGCUUCAGGGAUAUGCGGGCUUUUAACCAAGCCCUACUCGCAAAACAAGCAUGGCGCCUUAUAGAUAUGCCAGACAGUUUAUGUGCUAGGCUUCUAAAGGCGAAAUACUUCCCGGCUGGUAAUUUACUGGACUCGGUGUUCUCUAACAAUGGAUCUGCAGUGUGGCAAGGGAUUUUGUAUGGGCUGGACCUCCUGAAGAAGGGGGUUAUUUGGCGAGUGGGGAAUGGGGCACUCAUCCGUACUUGGCGUGACCCUUGGAUCCCAAGAGCAACCUCAUUCCGCCCUAUCACUCCUAAACGCACAUCC